GAUGAACGCUGGCGGCGUGCCUAAUACAUGCAAGUCGAGCGAACAGACGAGGAGUUUGCGCCUCUGUCGUUAGCCGCGGACGUGUGAGUAACACGUGUAUAACCUACCUAUAAGUCGGGUAUAACUUCGGGAAACGGGAUCUUAUACCGGAUGAUAUAUUUAACCGCAUGGUUCAGUGGAGAGAUAUGGUUUUUCUGAUACUUAUGGAGGGUUUCGGGCCGGAUUAGCGGGUUGGUAAGGUAACGGCUUACCCAGGCAACGAGACGUAGCCGGCAUGAGAGGGUGGUCGGCCAGCCUGGAAGUGAGACACGGUCCAGAGGGCUACGGGAGGCAGCAGUAGGGAAUCUGGAGCAAGGGGCGGAAGCCUGACGGAGAAACGCCGAGUGAGUGAUGAAGGUCGUCGGAUCGUAGAACUCUGCUAUUAGGGAAGAACAAAUGUGUAGGUAACUAGGAACGUAUUGACGGUAACUAAUAAGAAAGGCACGGCUAACUACUUG
RNAcentral lists this ribosomal RNA (497 nucleotides) under uncultured bacterium. RNAcentral describes it as "partial 16S ribosomal RNA". It matches the Rfam family "Bacterial small subunit ribosomal RNA", at positions 28 to 507 of the family's 1533-position model. The record is from RNAcentral.